CGGCGAGUGAAGCGGCAACAGCUCAAAUUUGAAAUCUGGUCACCUUACGGAGGCCCGAGUUGUAAUUUGAAGAGGAUGCUUUUGGCGAGGUGCCUUCCGAGUGCCCUGGAACGGGACGCCACAGAGGGUGAGAGCCCCGUAUGGUUGGACACCGAGCCUAUGUAAAGCUCCUUCGACGAGUCGAGUAGUUUGGGAAUGCUGCUCAAAAUGGGAGGUAAACCCCUUCUAAAGCUAAAUAUUGGCCAGAGACCGAUAGCGCACAAGUAGAGUGAUCGAAAGAUGAAAAGCACUUUGAAAAGAGAGUUAAACAGCACGUGAAAUUGUUGAAAGGGAAGCGCUUGCGACCAGACUUGCGCCCGUCGGAUCAACCGUCGCUUGUCGGCGGCGCACUCCGGCGGGCUCAGGCCAGCAUCAGUUUUCCCGGGGGGAGAAAGGCGGUGGGAAUGUAGCUCCUAGGAGUGUUAUAGCCCGCCGCGUAAUACCCUCGGGGGGACUGAGGACCGCGCAUCUGCAAGGAUGC
This 520-nucleotide ribosomal RNA is filed under the name uncultured Doratomyces. RNAcentral's name for it is "eukaryotic LSU rRNA". It matches the Rfam family "Eukaryotic large subunit ribosomal RNA", at positions 87 to 626 of the family's 3401-position model. Lineage: Eukaryota; Fungi; Ascomycota; Sordariomycetes; Microascales. The record is from RNAcentral.